AAUCAACGCUGGCGGCGUGCCUCAGACAUGCAAGUCGAACGAUUAAACUUUCCUUCGGGGAAGAUAUAAAGUGGCGCACGGGUGAGUAACACGUAAGUAAUCUACCUUCGAGUGGGGAAUAACAUCGGGAAACCGAUGCUAAUACCGCAUAACGCAGCGGCAUCUUAUGGUGACAGUUGUUAAAGGAGCAAUUCGCUUGAAGAGGAGCUUGCGGCAGAUUAGCUAGUUGGUAAGGUAAUGGCUUACCAAGGCUUCGAUCUGUAUCCGGUCUAAGAGGACGGUCGGACACACUGACACUGAAUAACGGGUCAGACUCCUACGGGAGGCAGCAGCCGGGAAUUUUGGGCAAUGGGCGAAAGCCUGACCCAGCAACGCCGCGUGAAGGAUGAAGUAUUUCGGUAUGUAAACUUCGAAAGAAUGGGAAGAACUCAAUGACGGUACCAUUUAUAAGCUCCGGCUAACUACGUGCCAGCAGCCGCGGUAAUACGUAGGGAGCAAGCGUUUGUUCGG
This 510-nucleotide ribosomal RNA is filed under the name uncultured bacterium. RNAcentral describes it as "bacterial SSU rRNA". It matches the Rfam family "Bacterial small subunit ribosomal RNA", at positions 28 to 548 of the family's 1533-position model. The record is from RNAcentral.